AUGCGUGUUUGGAUUGUAUGGUCAUAAUUUUAGGAGGCGUUUACUUCAAAUUAUUCUGACAAGAUUAUAAAUAAUCAAUUCUGUUAGUACUAUUAUAUUUAGUUUAUCCGAUAUAUAAUUUAUUUGAGAGUCCGGCUGCUAUGCUAUCAAUAGCAUUAAGUAUUUUGUACUAUCAAGUUUUCUACCGUUAGAUUAACUCCGUUGAUUAUUUUUAUCCGUUAGAUUAUACUAUCCAACCAACUACCCACUCAACCCUACGGGGCCCACAUCAUCAUAACCGCACAUCUUUUAAUCCAAGGGCAGAAAACUUAAUAGCACCAAGUCAUUGGUGCUAUUAAUAGUAUUCCAACCUAGUUAUUUAUUUGAUAUU
Molecule: long non-coding RNA, 370 nt
Filed under: Ananas comosus (pineapple)
Lineage: Eukaryota; Viridiplantae; Streptophyta; Magnoliopsida; Poales; Bromeliaceae
Description: long non-coding RNA (ACOM_LNC018886)
Source: RNAcentral